Molecule: ribosomal RNA, 558 nt
Filed under: uncultured bacterium
Lineage: Bacteria
Description: bacterial SSU rRNA
Rfam family: Bacterial small subunit ribosomal RNA
Source: RNAcentral
AGAGUUUGAUCAUGGCUCAGAUUGAACGCUGGCGGCAUGCUUAAUACAUGCAAGUCGAACGGUAACAGGUCCUUCGGGAUGCUGACGAGUGGCGGACGGGUGAGUAAUGCAUAGGAAUCUGCCCAGUAGUAGGGGACAACCUGAGGAAACUCAGGCUAAUACCGUAUAAGUCCUACGGGAGAAAGGGGGCCUCUUCUUGAAAGCUCUCGCUAUUGGAUGAGCCUAUGUCGGAUUAGCUUGUUGGUGGGGUAACGGCCUACCAAGGCGACGAUCCGUAGCUGGUCUGAGAGGACGAUCAGCCACACUGGGACUGAGACACGGCCCAGACUCCUACGGGAGGCAGCAGUAGGGAAUAUUGGACAAUGGGCGAAAGCCUGAUCCAGCAAUGCCGCGUGUGUGAAGAAGGCCUGCGGGUUGUAAAGCACUUUCAGUUGGGAAGAAAAUCUUUAGGUUAAUAUCCUAAAGUCUUGACGUUACCAACAGAAGAAGCACCGGCUAACUUUGUGCCAGCAGCCGCGGUAAUACAGAGGGUGCGAGCGUUAAUCGGAAUUACUGGGC